This 219-nucleotide long non-coding RNA is filed under the name Elaeis guineensis (African oil palm). RNAcentral's name for it is "long non-coding RNA (EGUI_LNC007919)". The record is from RNAcentral. Lineage: Eukaryota; Viridiplantae; Streptophyta; Magnoliopsida; Arecales; Arecaceae.
UCGAUCCCAACAUUGAUCUCUAGCCCUUGACUUUGGUCGUUGGCCCUCAAAAGACCUCAUAAUAGUCCUGUCAUUUCAUCCUAUUUAAAAAGGACAAUGGCCAUAGAUAAAGCAAAACAAGCGCCAUUCUUAUCUUCUGAUUGUCAAUCCAAAUAAUUAAUGAGGGUGACUCCCACUUGCUAUGAAAUGACAUCAAUCUCCAACUUUUGUAUAACCAAA